GACAGAGGGUGCAAACGUUGUUCGGAAUUACUGGGCGUAAAGCGCGUGUAGGCGGCCAUCUAAGUCGGGCGUGAAAUCCCACGGCUCAACCGUGGAAGUGCACUCGAAACUGGAUGGCUAGAGUCCUGGAGAGGAAGGUGGAAUGCUUGGUGUAGAGGUGAAAUUCGUAGAUAUCAGGAGGAACACCGAUGGCGAAGGCAGGUCUCUGGGCUGACACUGACGCUCAUGCACGAAAGCGUGGGGAGCAAACAGG
RNAcentral lists this ribosomal RNA (253 nucleotides) under uncultured bacterium. Its description in RNAcentral is "partial 16S ribosomal RNA". It matches the Rfam family "Bacterial small subunit ribosomal RNA", at positions 524 to 776 of the family's 1533-position model. The record is from RNAcentral.